This 1501-nucleotide long non-coding RNA is filed under the name Panax ginseng (ginseng). Its description in RNAcentral is "long non-coding RNA (PGIN_LNC010372)". Lineage: Eukaryota; Viridiplantae; Streptophyta; Magnoliopsida; Apiales; Araliaceae. The record is from RNAcentral.
ACUGAAGAACAGUGGGUAAUUGGUUGUGUUUAUAGUAAUUUGUUAUCUUCUGCAUUAACAAAUUUUCUUAACUAAUUUAACAAGUCAGAAAGCAUCUAAAAAUGUGUUGGAAUUACUGAAAAACAGUGGGUAAUUAGUUGUGUUCGCCACAACGAGCACUAGGACUUUGAUUGUGUUCGCCAUAACGAGCACUAGGACAUUGAAUCUUUGACUGCGGCUGGAAAUAUUUCAGAGGUUGUCAAAGUGUCAACCAUUGCUUUUUCUUAAAAACCCCAAUACCCCAAGUUAUGAACCAAUAGGAUACUUUGAAAAUGUAAGUCUAUUUCCACCCGUUAUAUAGGGUACUUUUCCAAAUCCAGCUACUCAGAGAAAGAUCUUCCACUGUAUUGUUGAACCAAGAAAUCUCUCCAUUGUCUUGUUACAUGUAGAACAUAUUUGACCAUAAGAAAAGAUCAAUAGCAUACAAUUCAUAAAUCUGUUCCUUGCUUAGCACACCACUAUGUAGUAAAAUAACCACAAAGUGAGAGAAUAAUUCUAGGAUGCUGUGAGAGAUAACAGAGUGCUGUGUCAACCCGUUUCUGACCCUUUUGGACAAGAAUUAAAUGAGCUCAGAAAUUAGAACUGAUUCUCAAACACUAGCAUCCUAUUCAUGUAAAGCUUCUUGCUAGUUGAACUCAAAGUAAAACAUGUUGAUUCGUGUAUGCAUGCCCAACUGAAUCUGGACUCCUAUUCUUUCUUGUUUAAAAACCCUAAUACAUAACAUACGUACAUGCAUAGAUACAUACAUACACACAAAAUGGUUAAUAUUAAAGCCUAACAAACUCUUUGUGCUUUUUGCUUGAGAAUCCAGGUUGUAGCAUCCCGCCCCCACCCCCUCCAUAAAAAAAAAACCCAUAGUGAAUCAAAACAAGGUGAAAUGGUAGAUUAAUAUAGUUGCUUCCUCAUCUAAUAUGGAACGAAUGUUGCUACGGUUACAAUUUUUUUUUACAAAAUGUUGUGGCAUAGCAUAAUUAGUGGAUGAUCCUCCAUAUAUGGGUGGACCUAGUGAUAAUAACCAACCACAACCAGCCACAUCAUUUUGUAAGAAACUUUUUGUACGACUCUUUUGUCAUCAAAGUACUAUUGAUAUGGAACUAGGUGAGGUUCUCUAACUUCACAAGAACUCAGGAUCAAGAAAUUCUAACUGAAAGAAAGUUGUGUUUAACUUGGUAACGAGCUGCAUUUAAACUUUUCAGAUAUGGGGAUUGCUAGAAAUUUCCUAGGAGAGAAUAGGAGAAAAUCAAAACAAAAAAAGAAGACAGAAUCAUAAUAAGUACUUACUUUUCUUUAUGUUUUGGUACAUAUUUCUAACCAUGCAUCCUGCUCCUCCUAUACUUCCAUAUCUGUUUCUGGUUUCAAUUCUAUUCCACUUUACAUGAUAUUCGGUAGCAGAUAUAUGGUACCAGAGAGUUCUCUAUUCAUAGUAAAUCUGAUGUGGUCUUCAUCCAAACUACCACCUCUA